CCUACGGGCGGCAGCAGUGAGGAAUAUUGGUCAAUGGACGAGAGUCUGAACCAGCCAAGUAGCGUGAAGGAUGACUGCCCUAUGGGUUGUAAACUUCUUUUAUAAAGGAAUAAAGUGAGGCACGUGUGCCUUUUGUAUGUACUUUAUGAAUAAGGAUCGGCUAACUCCGUGCCAGCAGCCGCGGUAAUACGGAGGAUCCGAGCGUUAUCCGGAUUUAUUGGGUUUAAAGGGAGCGUAGAUGGGUUGUUAAGUCAGUUGUGAAAGUUUGCGGCUCAACCGUAAAAUUGCAAUUGAUACUGGCAGUCUUGAGUACAGUUGAGGUAGGCGGAAUUCGUGGUGUAGCGGUGAAAUGCUUAGAUAUCACGAAGAACUCCGAUUGCGAAGGCAGCUUACUAAACUGCCACUGACAUUGAUGCUCGAAAUUGUGGGUAUCAAACAGGAUUAGAUACCCUGGUAGUC
Molecule: ribosomal RNA, 459 nt
Filed under: uncultured bacterium
Lineage: Bacteria
Description: partial 16S ribosomal RNA
Rfam family: Bacterial small subunit ribosomal RNA
Source: RNAcentral